GGGGAUUUAGCUCAGUGGUAGAGCACUUGCCUAGCAAGCACAAAGCCCUGGGUUCGGUCCCCAGCUCCA
Non-coding RNA from Rattus norvegicus (Norway rat), 69 nucleotides. Lineage: Eukaryota; Metazoa; Chordata; Mammalia; Rodentia; Muridae. The record is from Rfam.